UAGAAUUUUAUUUUUUAGUCAAAAAGCUAAAAUUUAUUUAAAAGACGAGAAGACCCUAUAAAUCUUUAUAUUUAUAUUAUUAUAAUUUUUUAGAUUUUUUUUAUUAUAAUAAUAGAUUAUAUUUUAUUGGGGUGAUAUUAAAAUUUAAUAAACUUUUAAUUGUUUAAAUCAUUAAUUUAUGAAUAA
Molecule: ribosomal RNA, 186 nt
Filed under: Lucilia sericata (common green bottle fly)
Lineage: Eukaryota; Metazoa; Arthropoda; Insecta; Diptera; Calliphoridae
Description: partial large subunit ribosomal RNA
Source: RNAcentral